CUCUCUCUCUCUCUCUCUCUCUCUCUCUCUCUCCUUCCCUCUUUUCUCUCGUGCGAUUUCCCCUCCCCCACCGAACACUCUUGCCAAAUUCAAAUUGGCUUUCUCUUCUCCCUUUUGACUAGUCAAACUCCCAAACCCUUAUCUUCUCUUUCUCUUCUCUCUCUUAUCUCUUUUUCUCUCUCACGCUCGACGCUCUCUCUCCCUCACUGUUCGUGCAGAAGCGGAACACCGAAGACCAGAAGCUGCAGCUCGCCGCCGCUGCUCCAUCGCCGCUCAUCCCGCCGCCGCACCACACGCCCGCGCCCGCGCCCGUGCGCUCGCCGCCGUGCGCCGCCAACCGUCCCUCGCGCCAGGCGUUCCCCCGCGCGACCCAGCCGCUGCCUAGCCUCCGUCCAGCCCUGUCCGGCCACCUCCGGCCGCCGUUCAACCUCGCCGGACUUCCCCGGCAUCCCCCUCGUCCUCCGCCGGCCUCCCCUCGCCGUUUUGGCCGCCGGAGCAACCCCGGCCAGCCCCGUCCAGCAACCCACGAAAUGGGUUUCCAGCUGGUUCAGGCCCGCUUUUGGGCCGUUUCUGGGCCUCGUUCCCGAGACCCGCUUUGGAGUUUAUCGUUCCUCGCGUCGUCCCCGUCGGAUUGAUCCGAUUUGCGCGCGAUUUGGUGAGUAAUCUCACUAAUCCCGGAUUAGUUGGCUAAUUAUGCUUAAGGUUGGUUUAGUUUUAAUUAAUUAUGUUUAGGUUGUUAGAUUAGAAUAAAUUAGUAAUUAUUAGUCAAUUGUGAUGCGAUUUAGAUAAAUUGAUUGCACAAUUAACAAGUAGACGUGGUCUACUAAUUAUUAGAAGUGUCUCGGGAUUUUUCCCGACCCUUAGUGGGCUCCAAUUAGGCUUUUCGGUCCUAAGUGGAAUUUUUAGUAUUUAAAUAUUAAUUUUCGGAAUUAAAUUAAAUAAUUAUUUAUUUUUCGAAAAUUCAACUGAGAUGGUCCGGAACUGAAAUUUUAUGCUGAUAACUGUGGUGAAGUCCGUUUAUUUAAUUGAGCACCAAUUUGAGCUAAAUUGGAUUUAUUAUAAUUAAUUAUUAAUUCUCGAAAUUAAUUAAUUAAUUAAUUAAUUAUUUUCUGGAAAUUCAACUGAGAUGGCCCGUGACCGGAAAAUUAUGCUGAUGACCGUGGUGAAGUUUGUUUAUUUAAUUGGGCUUUAUUUUGUGCUAAAUUGAAUUUUUAAUAUUUAUUAAUUAAUUAUUUAUUUUUUGAAAAUUAAGUUUGAGAUGGUCGACGACCGAAAUCUCGUGCCGAUUGUUGUGGCGUAGUCCGUUUAUUUAUUUGAGCUUUGAAUGGUGCUGAAUUGAUUUAAUUAUGGAUAUUUAGGAUAUGUUCCUAAAUUGAUUAUUUGAGUAAUUUGAGUAUGAAUUAAGGUUGUGGAUAAUUACUUUAGAAAUGGGAUGAAUCAUCAUGAAAGGCACGUGGCUCGGUGAAUCGUACAUCAUCUCGGAGAAUGCACGUGGCUCGGUGAUUUGGUAUAUCACUUCGGAGAAUGCACGUGGCUCGAUGAUUAGUACGUCACCUUGGAGAAUGCACGGGGCUUGAUGAUUAGAUAUAUCACCUCGGAGAAUGCACAUGGCUCGAUGACGAAGUAUGUCGCCUUGGAGAAUGCAUGUGGCUCGGUGAUUAAGUGUGGCAUCCUAAAAGAGACACGUGGGCUCGGUAAUUUGAUGCAUUACCUCGGAGAAUGCACGUGGUCUCAAUGAGUACAUUUGGCAUUUUGAAGAGACACGUGGGCUCGGUGACUUGAUGCAUCACUUCGGAGAAUGCACGUGGGCUCCCUGAUUCAGAAUGGCAUUUUAAAAGGCACGUGGGCUCGGUAAAGUAAUGCAUUACCUUGGAGAAUGCACGUGGCUCGGUGAUUGGUUUUAUUAAUUGAGACUGAAUAGCAAUAGCUUGAAUGACCGGGAAAUGGUCAGGCCGAUAUGUAAUCGACUAGGUCGAUUGAUCAUUGCUUUGAUUUGAUGUCGUGGAUUGAUUGACUGAUUGGAAAUGACCGUGAGAGGUCUUGUUGGCAUAUAAUCGACUAGGUCAAUUUGAUCGAUACUUCUAUCUGUGAUAUGAUUGCUUAGGUGCCUAUUAUGAAUUGUACUAACUUGUAGGUGGGAUCUGAGGCCAAGGUAAGUCAUCUGCUCUGUGCGUGUUUAGGCAGCCUAUAGUAUAAUGGUUUACUAAUUGGGUUUAGUGGGGUAGAACUCGCUGAGACGUAGUCUCAUCCCAGUUUGGGGAAAACAUUUCAGGACCCCGAUGAGGAGUUGAUGAGGAGGAGUCUGAGAAGGAGAACUCGGAGGUGAAACUUAAGGAGAAAGAUUUUUGGGAGAAGAAGAUAAUCCCGAGAAGGGCCUUGAGUACGGUUUGGAUGGCUGAGAGUUUAUCUUAUUUUGAGAUCUCCUUUUUGAUGUGAUUAAAGUUUAGAGUAAAAAGUUGUGAAGUUCUCUAGUUUGUGUUUUGUAUAAAAGUUUGGUUAUAAGUUUCAAUAUGAAAAAUAUGGCCCUACUUUUCUAUCCCAUUGUUUUAUUGUCUGGGGAUUAUAACUGCUUCCGCAUGUGCUUAAUAAAUGAAAGGGUCGGCGAUACAUUGUCCUGAGAUAUCACAUUAUAAAAUCGACCAAGAGAGAAGGAUGUGUGCGUGCCCGAGGAUCGGGGCGUGACAGGUACGCUUUAAUUCCGCUGUGUUUAUUGAUUUCAGUGUUUUACAAUUAUAUAUGGAUCCAUUUUUUCUUGAUCGAUUAAUUGUUUAUGUGAAUAAUUUUCUAUAUGUGGUAUCAGAGCCUAUCAUAUAUGAUUGUAGAACCCAAUUUUAUUUUUUAAUGAAAAAAUUCGAAAUUUUCCUCUUUGAGCCGAAUAUGGGCAUUAUUUUUGUCGCGACCUAAAUUUUCGGGUGCACCACCUAAAGUUUAGGCUGAUGGAUUAUUAAGCCUAGACUUAACUCGGGCUCUCCCAAGCCCAUACCAAUUCGCGACUUAAGUUCAAGUUCUUAACAUGAAUAUAGAUUUUAUCUAGGAGUCGCCACUAAUCUAUUUUUGGUGGGUCGAUUAAAAACCCAACUAAAGUAACGGGAGUUUUACUUUACUCCUACGAACCAGAGACUAUGGGUACGCGG
This 3134-nucleotide long non-coding RNA is filed under the name Eucalyptus grandis. Its description in RNAcentral is "long non-coding RNA (EGRA_LNC001963)". Lineage: Eukaryota; Viridiplantae; Streptophyta; Magnoliopsida; Myrtales; Myrtaceae. The record is from RNAcentral.